Molecule: ribosomal RNA, 406 nt
Filed under: uncultured bacterium
Lineage: Bacteria
Description: partial 16S ribosomal RNA
Rfam family: Bacterial small subunit ribosomal RNA
Source: RNAcentral
AUUGAACGCUGGCGGCAGGCUUAACACAUGCAAGUCGAGCGAGCGGCGGACGGGUGAGUAAUGUCUGGGAAACUGCCUGAUGGAGGGGGAUAACUACUGGAAACGGUAGCUAAUACCGCAUACCAUCAGAUGUGCCCAGAUGGGAUUAGUUAGUGGGUGGGGUGAUGGCUCACCUAGGCGACGCUCCCUAGCUGGUCUGAGAGGAUGACCAGCAACACUGGAACUGAGACACGGUCCGUACUCCUACGGGAGGCGGCAGUGGGGAAAAUUGCACAAGGGGCGCAAGCCUGAUGCAGACAUGCCGCGUGUGGGAAGAAGGCUUUCGGGUUGUAAAGCACUUUCAGCGAGGAGGCGUUACUCGAAGAAGAAGCACCGGCUAACUCCGUGCCAGCAGCCGCGGUAAUUC